CCUACGGGGGACAGCAGUGGGGAAUAUUGGGCAAUGGGCGCAAGCCUGACCCAGCAACGCCGCGUGAAGGAAGAAGGCUCUCGGGUUGUAAACUUCUUUUAUCAGGGACGAAGCAAGUGACGGUACCUGAUGAAUAAGCCAUGGCUAACUACGUGCCAGCAGCCGCGGUAAUACGUAGGUGGCAAGCGUUAUCCGGAUUUACUGGGUGUAAAGGGCGUGUAGGCGGGAAAGCAAGUCAGAUGUGAAAACCAUGGGCUCAACCUGUGGCCUGCAUUUGAAACUGUUUUUCUUGAGUACUGGAGAGGCAGACGGAAUUCCUAGUGUAGCGGUGAAAUGCGUAGAUAUUAGGAGGAACACCAGUGGCGAAGGCGGUCUGCUGGGCUUUAACUGACGCUGAGGCUCGAAAGUGUGGGGAGCAAACAGGAUUAGAUACCCCUGUAGUC
RNAcentral lists this ribosomal RNA (443 nucleotides) under uncultured bacterium. RNAcentral describes it as "partial 16S ribosomal RNA". It matches the Rfam family "Bacterial small subunit ribosomal RNA", at positions 338 to 795 of the family's 1533-position model. The record is from RNAcentral.